Molecule: transfer RNA, 90 nt
Filed under: Heterorhizobium halophytocola
Lineage: Bacteria; Pseudomonadati; Pseudomonadota; Alphaproteobacteria; Hyphomicrobiales; Rhizobiaceae
Also listed under: 6 other names
Description: Rhizobium halophytocola tRNA-Ser
Rfam family: tRNA
About the family: Transfer RNA (tRNA) molecules are approximately 80 nucleotides in length.
Source: RNAcentral
GGAGAGGUGGCUGAGAGGUCGAAAGCACCGCACUCGAAAUGCGGCAUACGGGCAACCGUAUCGUGGGUUCGAAUCCCACCCUCUCCGCCA